RNAcentral lists this ribosomal RNA (26 nucleotides) under Taifanglania sp. A10515H. Its description in RNAcentral is "partial 18S ribosomal RNA". Lineage: Eukaryota; Fungi; Ascomycota; Sordariomycetes; Sordariales; Chaetomiaceae. The record is from RNAcentral.
CCGUAUGUGACGCGGAGGGACAUUAC